GGGGGCGCGCCGCGACGGGGCGGGUGGAGCAGCCUGGUUUGGGGAAUUAGCACCAAGGACGGGCGCGCGCGCAGGUCCCCAGCACAUCUGGGCGAGAGCGGCGCCGCUGGAGCCGAGGGGGGCGCCGAGCGCAGAUCUGGAGCAGCAGAGCCACGGCGCAGCUGGGGCCCUUCGAGGCGCUCGGGGCGCACAUCUGGGACCUCAAGCGGGGGCCGUGCCGCGCGCAGCUGGACCAGGGGAGGGGGGCGGCGGCUGCACAGCUGGACCGAAGGGGGCGGGGUCGGCCCUGGGCGACCCGCUGAGGGGAGGGCCGCGGGCCGCCGGGGACUGGAGCAUGGGACGGCGCGCCUGAAGGAGCAGGAAGGGGAAGGAGGCCUGGGACCCCGAAAAGAGAAGGGGAGAGCGAGGGGACGAGAGCAGAGGAGGAAGAUGCAACUGACUCGCUGCUGCUUCGUGUUCCUGGUGCAGGGUAGCCUCUAUCUGGGGCCGUCUCUCCUGAGUGGAGAUGUGAGACACACACCCCUCCUCCAGACCACCCUCCGCUCCCCACCCUGGAGGCUUGAGACUGCUGGCACUGGAGCAGCCCACCAAUGGACACCCACCGUGUGCCGUUCAGCCUCCCACAGUGCUGUGGAGACUGCAGGAAGGAGGAGGAAGCAAUGGGGCCAGAGGCCCUGGGCGCCCUCCCCACCUCCCCUGGCUGAACUCUCAGCAGGCACUGGGGGCACUUUGACCCCCCUACUGCUCCUCUCCUCCUGUGGAGAGCCAGAUGCUGGCGACAGCUGGAGGGCCCGGCCUUCCUGGCACACAGUUCUGCCUGCACCAGGGAUGGAUUCAUUUUAAUAACUUCAUUUCACCCUCAUGCACACUCUGCCGCCUCAUCCCUCCUUUCGACCUUCCCCAGUAGCCUGGCUGCUCUCCUCAGCUAGGACUUUGCUAACAGAUUUCCUCCCAAACCUUAAUUCUUUGGAAUAGCCCUCUGGUCCCUACUGUUCUUGCCAGAUACUUCUGUGCCCGCUUGGUCCUCACAAGGGCAAGGGGUCCAUCCAACUUCCUCUGGCUAAGAAGACGUCACCUCUGCCCCACUGGCGAGCAGUGUCCCCAUGGUGAUGCCCCCCCACCAUCACGACGAAGUGCGCUGGCCUCCCACUCUUGCCAUGCACACACUCACAGGAGAUUCCUCUGAAGAAACCUGUCCCCCACUCUGCCCAGACCCCAAAGGGCCAGGUCCUACUCACACUCCAACCCUUUGACCUUCCCCAUCCACUGCCCUUCAAGGCAGUCUGAAAUGCCCUCAGACCGUUUAGCAGUCCCGUGGUCCUCCACCCUAACCCCUCAGCCCAGCUGGGGGCUGCCGG
RNAcentral lists this long non-coding RNA (1358 nucleotides) under Pan troglodytes (chimpanzee). RNAcentral's name for it is "long non-coding RNA NONPTRT006844". The record is from RNAcentral. Lineage: Eukaryota; Metazoa; Chordata; Mammalia; Primates; Hominidae.